This 484-nucleotide ribosomal RNA is filed under the name uncultured bacterium. Its description in RNAcentral is "partial 16S ribosomal RNA". It matches the Rfam family "Bacterial small subunit ribosomal RNA", at positions 30 to 507 of the family's 1533-position model. The record is from RNAcentral.
AUUGAACGCUGGCGGCAGGCCUAACACAUGCAAGUCGAGCGGAUGAAGGGAGCUUGCUCCUGGAUUCAGCGGCGGACGGGUGAGUAAUGCCUAGGAAUCUGCCUGGUAGUGGGGGAUAACGUCCGGAAACGGGCGCUAAUACCGCAUACGUCCUGAGGGAGAAAGUGGGGGAUCUUCGGACCUCACGCUAUCAGAUGAGCCUAGGUCGGAUUAGCUAGUUGGUGGGGUAAAGGCCUACCAAGGCGACGAUCCGUAACUGGACUGAGAGGAUGAUCAGUCACACUGGAACUGAGAAACGGUCCAGACUCCUACGGGAGGCAGCAGUGGGGAAUAUUGGACAAUGGGCGAAAGCCUGAUCCAGCCAUGCCGCGUGUGUGAAGAAGGUCUUCGGAUUGUAAAGCACUUUAAGUUGGGAGGAAGGGCAGUAAGUUAAUACCUUGCUGUUUUGACGUUACCAACAGAAUAAGCACCGGCUAACUUCGUG